UGUCGCUUUCAUGAGCAAGACUACUCUCAUAUGCCGAAUAAGACUUAUCUUCUAAGGCAAACAUGAGUUCCGGGAAUCUCGGGGAACGACCCCCAGAUAGACGUAAAACUGCGAGAAAGCCGAAAGACCGAGACAUCCUGCCAGUACUGAGCAAGAUGACCUGCGUGCUGAUUGGUUUGUUUACAACGAGCGAAGCUCCGGAGCAAAGAGGCAAACAUGGCCGACAGCACUCACUGAAACAGCCAAGGUGGAAAUACUAUGGAGACAGGUGUUGAACAGCAUAUUUGAGCCUGAAUCAAAGGAAGAAUCUGAAAUAGAGGAGCAACCAGUCGCCCAUAGAUUGGAAAUGACUACUUCAGAGUGCUAAGUUUUGUCAUUUACUUGAGUUUGCCACUCGUAGCCCAGUUAGCUAGCUGUAAUACUCGCACGUUAGUUAGUGUCGUAGACUAAGCUAAACAUUGUAUUAGGUUCGUUUUUAGCAUUGUAAGCAACAGAAGUUAUUCAUUUGCACACAAACAAAUGUUUUACAACUUGUACCCUUUUUUUUGUCAAGAUGUCCAGUUAGAAACUAGCUGAAAAGUUUGUAGCCCGUCGUGGGCAGUUCAGGCUAUGCUGUAGUGAAAGGAGUGCUGCUUGCAAGGAAAGUACUCGUUUUAGUCAGUAAGUAUAUUCUCCUGGUGAAUAGGUCAUCUGAUUAGGAGUUACAUACAUACAUUAUUGUAGUGGUAAUAUGCGAUCUUACAACAGGAUGUCCAGUUAGCUGGGCAGGAGCUCUGUGCAGUUCGUAGGCUAUAACGUUAUUGCUGAAGUGAAACGAGUAGCCUACUGCUCGCGUCAAUGAAAAUAUUACGUUUGUGUCAGUAGGUCUAAUGUACUCGUUUAACUACUAUCCUGCUGAUUAAGUCAUCUGAUUAUCGAGAUUUUUACGUUCUUUCCAUGUAGUAAUGUAUGAUCUUACAACGGGACGUCCAGUUAGCUGGGCAGGAGCUCUGUGCAGUUUGUAGCCUAUGGCUGAAGUGAAACGAGGUCAACGAAAAUAUUACUAGGCCAAUUUGUGUCAAUGAUAAACUUUAUUUCUUUUUUUUUUUUCAACAAUCGUCCAGUGAUACUCUGAUGUAAAAUAUAAAAAAAUAAAUAGUAAAAAAAAAUUGCUUUUCCACCCUGUUCUCGUUGCAGGCAAUGAAGUGACUUGGCCUACAGGUCUUUUGUGAGCAGGAGCUGGGGUUUCCUUAGAAGAAGCGUCCGUGUCAUGAUCCCCUUGUGUGUGGUGCUACGCAUAUGGAGGGAACUUCCGGAUACUUCAGGGCAGUACGUUGGAUUCAGACCCCUUUUCGACUGAACCGCGUGACACAUGUUCAGCAACAGCAUCCUCCAUGGAAGGUCUGUCUAGCUGAGCACACAAGUCCUGGGGCACAGGAAUCCGCUGGACGGCAUCCCAAUAAGGAAGAGGGUCUUUGAUGAUCUCGAAGAGGACAAGAAAAAGGACUUAUAUUGGAUACUGUAAUACAGUGCAUUGUAGGCUGUAUAUUGUAUAAUAAACAAAUUGUAUGACCCUGAA
Alosa sapidissima (American shad) is the source of this 1558-nucleotide long non-coding RNA. RefSeq lists it as uncharacterized. NCBI's taxonomy places the organism in Eukaryota, Metazoa, Chordata, Actinopteri, Clupeiformes, Clupeidae. The record is from RefSeq and is a predicted model, not a curated record. The transcript has 3 exons.